This 73-nucleotide transfer RNA is filed under the name Thermoplasmatales archaeon. RNAcentral describes it as "tRNA-Gln". It matches the Rfam family "tRNA". From Rfam's summary of the family: Transfer RNA (tRNA) molecules are approximately 80 nucleotides in length. Their secondary structure includes four short double-helical elements and three loops (D, anti-codon, and T loops). Further hydrogen bonds mediate the characteristic L-shaped molecular structure. tRNAs have two regions of fundamental functional importance: the anti-codon, which is responsible for specific mRNA codon recognition, and the 3' end, to which the tRNAs corresponding amino acid is attached (by aminoacyl-tRNA synthetases). tRNAs cope with the degeneracy of the genetic code in two manners: having more than one tRNA (with a specific anti-codon) for a particular amino acid; and 'wobble' base-pairing, i.e. permitting non-standard base-pairing at the 3rd anti-codon position. The record is from RNAcentral. RNAcentral also lists the same sequence under 1 other name. Lineage: Archaea; Methanobacteriati; Thermoplasmatota; Thermoplasmata; Thermoplasmatales.
AGCCCCGUGGUGUAGUGGUCAAGCAUGGCGGGCUUUGGACCCGCCGACGGCAGUUCGAAUCUGCCCGGGGCUA